RNAcentral lists this ribosomal RNA (254 nucleotides) under uncultured bacterium. RNAcentral describes it as "partial 16S ribosomal RNA". It matches the Rfam family "Bacterial small subunit ribosomal RNA", at positions 524 to 776 of the family's 1533-position model. The record is from RNAcentral.
UACGGGGGGAGCAAGCGUUGUUCGGAUUUACUGGGCGUAAAGGGCGCGUAGGCGGUCAGCACAAGUCAGUUGUGAAAUCUCCGGGCUUAACUCGGAAAGGUCAACUGAUACUGUGCGACUAGAGUGCAGAAGGGGCAACUGGAAUUCUCGGUGUAGCGGUGAAAUGCGCAGAUAUCAGGAGGAACACCAAUGGCGAAGGCAGCACUCUGGGACGUGACUGACGCUGAGACGCGAAAGCGUGGGGAGCAAACAGG